RNAcentral lists this ribosomal RNA (253 nucleotides) under uncultured bacterium. RNAcentral's name for it is "partial 16S ribosomal RNA". It matches the Rfam family "Bacterial small subunit ribosomal RNA", at positions 524 to 776 of the family's 1533-position model. The record is from RNAcentral.
UACGUAGGGUGCAAGCGUUAAUCGGAAUUAUUGGGCGUAAAGCGUGCGCAGGCGGUUCGUUAUGUCCGAUGUGAAAGCCCCGAGCUCAACUUGGGAAUGGCAUUGGAAACUGGCGGGCUGGAGUGUGGCAGAGGGGGGUGGAAUUCCACGUGUAGCAGUGAAAUGCGUAGAGAUGUGGAGGAACACCAGUGGCGAAGGCGGCGAUCUGGGAAGAUACUGACGCUGAGGUGCGAAAGCGUGGGGAGCAAACAGG